RNAcentral lists this ribosomal RNA (500 nucleotides) under uncultured bacterium. RNAcentral describes it as "partial 16S ribosomal RNA". It matches the Rfam family "Bacterial small subunit ribosomal RNA", at positions 30 to 523 of the family's 1533-position model. The record is from RNAcentral.
AUUGAACGCUGGCGGCAUGCCUUACACAUGCAAGUCGAACGGCAGCACGGGAGCAAUCCUGGUGGCGAGUGGCGAACGGGUGAGUAAAGUAUCGGAACGUGCCCAGUCGUGGGGGAUAACGUAGCGAAAGUUACGCUAAUACCGCAUACGAUCUAUGGAUGAAAGCGGGGGAUCGCAAGACCUCGCGCGAUUGGAGCGGCCGAUAUCAGAUUAGGUAGUUGGUGGGGUAAAGGCUCACCAAGCCGACGAUCUGUAGCUGGUCUGAGAGGACGACCAGCCACACUGGGCCUGAGACACGGCCCAGACUCCUACGGGAGGCAGCAGUGGUGAAUUUUGGACAAUGGGCGCAAGCCUGAUCCAGCCAUGCCGCGUGCAGGAUGAAGGCCUUCGGGUUGUAAACUGCUUUUGUACGGAACGAAAAGGCUUGGCUUAAUACGUUGGACUCAUGACGGUACCGUAAGAAUAAGCACCGGCUAACUACGUGCCAGCAGCCGCAGUAA